GGUUAAGCGACUAAGCGUACACGGUGGAUGCCCUGGCAGUCAGAGGCGAUGAAGGACGUGCUAAUCUGCGAUAAGCGUCGGUGAGGUGAUAUGAACCGUUAUAACCGGCGAUUUCCGAAUGGGGAAACCCAGUGUGUUUCGACACACUAUCAUUAACUGAAUCCAUAGGUUAAUGAGGCGAACCGGGGGAACUGAAACAUCUAAGUACCCCGAGGAAAAGAAAUCAACCGAGAUUCCCCCAGUAGCGGCGAGCGAACGGGGAGGAGCCCAGAGCCUGAAUCAGUGUGUGUGUUAGUGGAAGCGUCUGGAAAGGCGCGCGAUACAGGGUGACAGCCCCGUACACAAAAAUGCACAUAUUGUGAGCUCGAUGAGUAGGGCGGGACACGUGGUAUCCUGUCUGAAUAUGGGGGGACCAUCCUCCAAGGCUAAAUACUCCUGACUGACCGAUAGUGAACCAGUACCGUGAGGGAAAGGCGAAAAGAACCCCGGCGAGGGGAGUGAAAAAGAACCUGAAACCGUGUACGUACAAGCAGUGGGAGCCUCUUUAUGGGGUGACUGCGUACCUUUUGUAUAAUGGGUCAGCGACUUAUAUUCUGUAGCAAGGUUAACCGAAUAGGGGAGCCGAAGGGAAACCGAGUCUUAACUGGGCGUUAAGUUGCAGGGUAUAGACCCGAAACCCGGUGAUCUAGCCAUGGGCAGGUUGAAGGUUGGGUAACACUAACUGGAGGACCGAACCGACUAAUGUUGAAAAAUUAGCGGAUGACUUGUGGCUGGGGGUGAAAGGCCAAUCAAACCGGGAGAUAGCUGGUUCUCCCCGAAAGCUAUUUAGGUAGCGCCUCGUGAAUUCAUCUCCGGGGGUAGAGCACUGUUUCGGCAAGGGGGUCAUCCCGACUUACCAACCCGAUGCAAACUGCGAAUACCGGAGAAUGUUAUCACGGGAGACACACGGCGGGUGCUAACGUCCGUCGUGAAGAGGGAAACAACCCAGACCGCCAGCUAAGGUCCCAAAGUCAUGGUUAAGUGGGAAACGAUGUGGGAAGGCCCAGACAGCCAGGAUGUUGGCUUAGAAGCAGCCAUCAUUUAAAGAAAGCGUAAUAGCUCACUGGUCGAGUCGGCCUGCGCGGAAGAUGUAACGGGGCUAAACCAUGCACCGAAGCUGCGGCAGCGACACUAUGUGUUGUUGGGUAGGGGAGCGUUCUGUAAGCCUGUGAAGGUGGCCUGUGAGGGUUGCUGGAGGUAUCAGAAGUGCGAAUGCUGACAUAAGUAACGAUAAAGCGGGUGAAAAGCCCGCUCGCCGGAAGACCAAGGGUUCCUGUCCAACGUUAAUCGGGGCAGGGUGAGUCGACCCCUAAGGCGAGGCCGAAAGGCGUAGUCGAUGGGAAACAGGUUAAUAUUCCUGUACUUGGUGUUACUGCGAAGGGGGGACGGAGAAGGCUAUGUUGGCCGGGCGACGGUUGUCCCGGUUUAAG
RNAcentral lists this ribosomal RNA (1469 nucleotides) under Escherichia coli. RNAcentral's name for it is "partial 23S ribosomal RNA". It matches the Rfam family "Bacterial large subunit ribosomal RNA", at positions 1 to 1516 of the family's 2925-position model. The record is from RNAcentral. Lineage: Bacteria; Pseudomonadati; Pseudomonadota; Gammaproteobacteria; Enterobacterales; Enterobacteriaceae.